This 449-nucleotide ribosomal RNA is filed under the name uncultured bacterium. RNAcentral's name for it is "bacterial SSU rRNA". It matches the Rfam family "Bacterial small subunit ribosomal RNA", at positions 29 to 524 of the family's 1533-position model. The record is from RNAcentral.
AACGAACGCUGGCGGCAUGCCUAACACAUGCAAGUCGAACGAGACCUUCGGGUCUAGUGGCGCACGGGUGCGUAACGCGUGGGAAUCUGCCCUUGGGUUCGGAAUAACAGUUAGAAAUGACUGCUAAUACCGGAUGAUGUCUUCGGACCAAAGAUUUAUCGCCCAAGGAUGAGCCCGCGUAAGAUUAGCUAGUUGGUGGGGUAAUGGCCCACCAAGGCGACGAUCUUUAGCUGGUCGAGAGGAUGAUCAGCCACACUGGGACUGAGACACGGCCCAGACUCCUACGGGAGGCAGCAGUGGGGAAUAUUGGACAAUGGGCGAAAGCCUGAUCCAGCAAUGCCGCGUGAGUGAUGAAGGCCUUAGGGUUGUAAAGCUCUUUUACCAGGGAUGAUAAUGACAGUACCUGGAGAAUAAGCUCCGGCUAACUCCGUGCCAGCCGCCGCGGUAAU